GAAUUGCCAUUUCAUGAAGAAAUCAGAUAUUUGGCAGCGAGCUAGAGGUCUGGGUCCAGGCUUCUGCGAAGCGUUUGAGUGGACUUUUGCGGGUAUACUUCCUUUGUUUUCCCCUUCAUAUAGAGAGAGGGCGAGGAGAAAAAAAGGGAUAAAAUCUAAUUUGAACUCAUGCUGGCUGAGGAAAAUUAUUUUUAUCAAAUCCACUGUGAAUGACCUUUGCCACCUUGAGCAAACACGGCUGCCUGAGAAAUAGUAAACUGAUCCUGGUGUGAAGUGGCCCUUGUUGUCCGUGUAGUUAAGCAGAAGUAUGAGAUGACGUGACACUGGCAGCAGUGCCAGGCGGUGUUGUUGCAACCAAUGGGGGGCAGAGGACACAACAGAGAGUAAUGGCUGCUACAAGCCAUCAGCCCUCACACAGAUAAAAAAAAACACAAACAAAAAAAAAACACCGCCACAUUUCAUCUGCCCUGUUUUUCUCCAUUUUAAUUCCUUCUGUUUGUUUGUUUGUCGACCUUGCCAUGUCAGCUGACCUUCCUCUGUCCAGGACCCUGAAGAGAGAGGGGAAGGGGGAAAAAAAAGAAAGAGGAAACAAUAAGCAAGACGCUGACAUUUCUGUACAGAGAAGGAACAAACAGCUCAUACAAAAUGCCCCCCACUCCCCUCAGACAAAUUUACUCAAAAAUAUGUGUGUGUCUUGAACGUCCGAGGGCUGUCCGGCUCUCAGCCACCAUUGCCAAGGAAGUGUCACGGUGUCGUGACAACUUCAGCGACUGCAGUGCGAUGGGUGACCCUCGGCCGGCAGAAGGGGGGCGCUGAAUCCCCCGCCCACCCUGGAUCCUGACAGAUGUCAUAUACCUCCUCCAUGGGCACCUUCUGUUUCCUGUUCACCUUUCUCCAUCCUGCAGCGUUAGGGCUCCUGUCUCCACCUCGUCAAAGCACACACACGCGCACACACACAAACAGGGGGGAAUCAGACAAAGAAGGAGACAUAAACUUGACCGGGAUGGAUUUUUAAACGAUGUUUCUGGAUUGACAGCAGAUGAUUAUGACAAGAAGCAGUUUCCAUCUCAGUUCCAAGUUACAUUCCCAUCAUCUGUUUGCCCCAUCUAUUUAUGCUUUUUUUUUUAACCAUUUGCUUUUUACUUUACGUUAAAAAAAAGGCAAAUAUGGAUUCCACACUCCCUGGC
Astatotilapia calliptera (eastern happy) is the source of this 1187-nucleotide long non-coding RNA. Lineage: Eukaryota; Metazoa; Chordata; Actinopteri; Cichliformes; Cichlidae. The record is from Ensembl.